This is a non-coding RNA of Mycena crocata, 95 nucleotides long. Lineage: Eukaryota; Fungi; Basidiomycota; Agaricomycetes; Agaricales; Mycenaceae. The record is from the annotation of a GenBank genome assembly.
GGCCGUCUAGCUCAGUUGGUUAGAGCGUCGUGCUAAUAUAUACCGCAGUCGUGCGUAUUACGCGAAGGUCUUGGGUUCGACCCCCACGAUGGCCA